Molecule: unclassified non-coding RNA, 332 nt
Filed under: soil metagenome
Description: partial contains 5.8S ribosomal RNA, internal transcribed spacer 2, and large subunit ribosomal RNA
Rfam family: 5.8S ribosomal RNA (bases 1-120)
Source: RNAcentral
GAUGAAGAACGCAGCGAAAUGCGAUAAGUAAUGUGAAUUGCAGAAUUCAGUGAAUCAUCGAAUCUUUGAACGCACAUUGCGCCCGCUAGUAUUCUGGCGGGCAUGCCUGUCCGAGCGUCAUUUCAACCAUCAAGCCUCGUGCUUGUGUUGGGGACCUGCGUCCGACGCAGGCCCUGAAAACCAGUGGCGGGCUCGCUGUCCACACCGAGCGUAGUAACUAACCUCGCUAUGGAGUGGCGCGGGCGCCUGCCGUAAAACCCCCAAUUUCACAAGGUUGACCUCGGAUCAGGUAGGAAUACCCGCUGAACUUAAGCAUAUCAAUAAGCGGAGGA